AAGCAGGAGUAAGUUCAUGAAAGAUGCAUGGGUCUCUAGUAAGUGACUGGUACAGUAUAUUUAAUGAUUCCAGGCUUUAGACUUCUACAAUUAGGCAAACAAACUAAUCUAUAUGUAAGAGAUACACAGUACCUUGUCCAAAUUUUUGUCCAAAUAUUUUCAUACUACAGAUGUGUUCUAGCCCCUCUGACUAACGUUUCAUUUUAACUGAGACUGGAGCAGUGUGGAGCAGCUGAGCCUUGGAAACGUAAAACCAGGGAACAGUAGGUGGUGUGAGACUACAGACCUCGAAUCUUCAUGAGUUCUGGUCUCAGGUAGAUUAAAUUAAUUCAGUGAUGUAGAAGUAAUAAAAUAAAAUAAAAUAAAGUCUGACUUCUGGAAAUGACUCAACAGUUUAACAACAAACUUUCUUUCAAAUCUUGAUACUGUGGUUUGGAUGUUCAGAACAUCCAGGCACUUCCAGAUCAGUAUCAGCUUCAACGGCUCAAAGUUGUUCCAGGAAAUGAAUGAAGUGCCCUGUGUGACCUCCAGUAAGCUUGCUUAUUUCAAGAGAGCUUGGUGUUUUCUCGUGACAACCUUGCAGAUUACUUCGGUGACAAUGUAAGCCUUGUUCCAACACCCAGAGGAAAAGAAAGGUUUUUAAUGAAAUGGUGAGAGUUGAAGGAAGAAGAAUGACUAACACAACACCUUGGCCCACUCAUGGUGAAGAUGAGACUUAAAGGAAGUUUGGCUCCUACUUCCUUUCGAAAUAAUUGCAACACCUAGGAAAAUUAACAUUCAGUCAAUAGCUGGGCUCUGCCAAUGUGCAUUUUCUUCCUUGCAGAACACCGAAAAAAAAAUUGAAUUCCAGAGUACAUUUCUUACUUAGAUUAAGGACACUGACAAGGUCAUUUCUAGUCUGCCCCAGGUACCAUAUGCAAAAGGAUGGGAGUGGGAGGGAGAACACUGAUGAAGAUAACCUGGCACCCUUACUACCUGUGUGACUUUGAGGUUAACUUUUUCAGGCUAAUAUUUGUAUUUGGAAAAUGGGAGUGAUGAUUUUGUAUUUACUCGCAAAGAAGGUUAGAAGGAUUAAACAAGAUAACACAUGUAAGGCACGUAGCACUCUGCCUGGCACUGAGCAAAUGCUACAUAGGAGAUAGCUGCUAUUAAUAGCGCAACACGAUAGUUUCCUUGUGGAAUUUUCUCCCACUGACUCUCUUUCAACUAAGUGGCAGUACUGUUUUUGUAUCUAUUUUAGGAAAAAAUAAAGACCUGCAGAACAAACCUAGUUUCUAUUUCCUUGUCAUGAAAUAAGCUUUCCCUUAAGAAAUACCCAGCACAAAGACAACCC
This 1333-nucleotide long non-coding RNA is filed under the name Homo sapiens (human). RNAcentral describes it as "HSALNT0244545". The record is from RNAcentral. Lineage: Eukaryota; Metazoa; Chordata; Mammalia; Primates; Hominidae.